AUUAUUGUAACAAUCAAUUUUAAUCUAAAUAAUACCCAUAUUAUCAUUCUCUCUCGCACUGCAUACAACUAACCAUUCUUGAUUUCUUUCAUGGGGAGCAUAAUGAAAGGUGCACAUAUACUAAUAUUCCCAUUUCCAGCACAAGGUCAUAUGCUUCCACUACUAGACUUGACACACCACUUAGCAACCCAUGGGCUAACCAUAACCAUCUUGGUCACACCCAAAAACCUACCAAUUUUGAACCCACUUCUAGCUUCAUGUCCCAACAUCCAACCACUGGUCUUCCCUUUUCCUGACCACCCUUCACUUCCAAAAGGUGUUGAAAAUGUUAAAGAUAUAGGAAACCAUGGAAACUUACAUAUAAUCAACUCACUUGCCAAACUUCAAGAAACAAUAAUCCAGUGGUUCAACUCCCACCCUAGUCCUCCUGUUGCCAUGAUUUCAGAUUUUUUUCUUGGAUGGACUCAACACCUUGCUAACAAACUGGGUAUCCCCCGGGUCGGGUUUUUUUCAUCUGGUGCUUUCUUGACUGCUGUUCUUGACUAUGUUUGUCAUAAUAUCAAGUUGGUUCAGUCUCAAGAUGUGACUGUUUUUCAUGACUUGCCAAAUGGGCCUGCUUUAAAAUGGGAGGAGCUUCCUACACUGGCCCGGGUGUAUAAAGAAUCUGACCCGGAAUGGGAGUUGGUUCUUGAUGGUCAUAUUGUUGGGAGGUCUAGUUGGGGUUCGAUUGUGAAUACUUUUUAUGGAUUGGAGACUCAAUAUAUGGAGUAUUUGACCAAAAUAAUGGGUCAUGGGCGAGUUUUUGGAGUUGGUCCGGUUAGUUUGCUUAAUGGGUCGGAUCCAAUGACCCGUGGGAAAUCGGAGUCCGGGUCCGAUUAUGAUGUGCUGAGAUGGCUUGAUUCGAGGCCUGAUGGGUCGGUUUUGUAUGUGUGUUUUGGAAGCCAAAAGUUUCUUAGUAAGGCCCAAAUGGAGGCAUUGGCUAUUGGGCUUGAGGAGAGUGGGGUCCAUUAUGUUUGGGUGGUGAAACAAGAGUUAGGUGACCCGGUUGUUUCGGGAUCGGGUAGAGGAAUGGUGAUAAAUGGUUGGGCCCCACAGGUGUCGAUAUUGGGUCAUCAAGCAGUGGCUGGAUUUUUGAGUCAUUGUGGAUGGAACUCGGUUUUGGAAGCUAUUGUGGGUGGAGUGAAGAUAUUGGCAUGGCCUAUGGAGGCUGACCAAUACGUUAAUGCUAGGUUGUUGGUAGACGACCAUGGUGCGGCGGUGCGAGUUUGUGAAGGGGCGAAUACCGUACCCGACUCGGCCGAGUUGGCUCGUAAAAUCGGCGAGUCAAUGAGUGGGUCUGAGAAUAAUAAGAAAAUGAGAGCAAAAGAGCUUAAAGAUAAAGCAAUUGAAGCAGUCAAGGAAGGUGGGAGCUCAUUUAUGGAAUUGGACAGGCUUGUCAACGCGUUAUCCAACUUGGAACAAAAAUUGGAUGUUCCUCAUUAGCAUUUGAUCUGAAGAGCAAAUUAUGUUAUGGCUAAAACAUGUAACGAGAAUCGAAGUGGUGAUGGAAAAUUCAAAGCACACAUUUGGAGCGGCUUCUUGAUACCCACCAAAGACUUUCCCAAGUGCCCAAUACCCCGCCUACGCAGACAUAUGUGGACGCUUUAGGGACACGAUCGGGACAUACUCGUGUGGUUGGGCGUGUGGUUAGGGGAACACGUGGACUGAAUGUCCCCCUCCCAGAGGAUAUAGAGCAACCCUUCCCAGCUCAGCAGUCACCGUCCUUUAACGUCAAUGAUAUGUUCGCCCAGGGUAGCCCUUGGACCCAGUCAUCAUUCAAAGACGGACCUAGCACAUCAUCAUCCCAUGCUGGGCCUAGCACGUCACCGGCCCCCACACAGCGGUUGGGUAGUGAUAGUGAUAGUGAUAGUGAUAGUGAUAGUGAUAGUGAUAGUGAUAGUGAUGAUGAAAGUGAUUAGUUUUCCUUUUUUUUAUUGUUUGUAUUCAUCGUUUAACUGAAGUGUGAUUUCCUUUUGUAAUCUUGAUUUGCGUGAAAUUUUCACUUGUAUUUUUUAUGUUUU
Erigeron canadensis is the source of this 2060-nucleotide RNA transcript. It is a transcript of the gene named UDP-glycosyltransferase 89A2-like, with no coding region annotated. The transcript has 3 exons. The record is from RefSeq and is a predicted model, not a curated record. Lineage: Eukaryota; Viridiplantae; Streptophyta; Magnoliopsida; Asterales; Asteraceae.